AUUGAACGCUGGCGGCAUGGUUUACACAUGCAAGUCGAACGGUAACAGGUUAAGCUGACGAGUGGCGAACGGGUGAGUAAUGCAUCGGAACGUGCCCGAUCGUGGGGGAUAACGCAGCGAAAGCUGCGCUAAUACCGCAUACGAUCUGAGGAUGAAAGCGGGGGACCGUAAGGCCUCGCGCGAUCGGAGCGGCCGAUGUCAGAUUAGGUAGUUGGUGGGGUAAAGGCUCACCAAGCCGACGAUCUGUAGCUGGUCUGAGAGGACGACCAGCCACACUGGGACUGAGACACGGCCCAGACUCCUACGGGAGGCAGCAGUGGGGAAUUUUGGACAAUGGGCGCAAGCCUGAUCCAGCAAUGCCGCGUGCAGGAAGAAGGCCUUCGGGUUGUAAACUGCUUUUGUACGGAGCGAAAAGGCUCUCUCUAAUACAGGGGGCUCAUGACGGUACCGUAAGAAUAAGCUCCGGCUAACUCCGUGCCAGCCGCCGCCGUAA
RNAcentral lists this ribosomal RNA (493 nucleotides) under uncultured bacterium. Its description in RNAcentral is "partial 16S ribosomal RNA". It matches the Rfam family "Bacterial small subunit ribosomal RNA", at positions 30 to 523 of the family's 1533-position model. The record is from RNAcentral.